RNAcentral lists this ribosomal RNA (253 nucleotides) under uncultured bacterium. Its description in RNAcentral is "partial 16S ribosomal RNA". It matches the Rfam family "Bacterial small subunit ribosomal RNA", at positions 524 to 776 of the family's 1533-position model. The record is from RNAcentral.
UACGGGGGGGGCAAGCGUUGUUCGGAAUUACUGGGCGUAAAGGGCUCGUAGGCGGCCAACUAAGUCGGAUGUGAAAUCCCCAGGCUCAACCUGGGAACUGCAUCCGAUACUGGAUGGCUUGAAUUCGGGAGAGGGAUGCAGAAUUCCAGGUGUAGCGGUGAAAUGCGUAGAUAUCUGGAGGAACACCGGUGGCAAAGGCGGCAUCCUGGACCGGCAUUGACGCUGAGGAGCGAAAGCCAGGGGAGCAAACGGG